AUAUGACACAGCUCUACGGUUGCCGGUCUGGCACCUACAGUUGGUCGUGGCGCAAUGAC
Regulatory RNA element from Anaerobacillus arseniciselenatis, 59 nucleotides. It matches the Rfam family "Selenocysteine insertion sequence 3". The record is from Rfam. Lineage: Bacteria; Bacillati; Bacillota; Bacilli; Caryophanales; Bacillaceae.